Molecule: ribosomal RNA, 495 nt
Filed under: uncultured bacterium
Lineage: Bacteria
Description: bacterial SSU rRNA
Rfam family: Bacterial small subunit ribosomal RNA
Source: RNAcentral
AAAGGAAUAGACGGGGGCCCGCACAAGCGGUGGAGCAUGUGGUUUAAUUCGAUGCAACGCGAAGAACCUUACCUACCCUUGACAUACAGCGAAUCUUUCAGAGAUGAGAGAGUGCCUUCGGGAACGCUGAUACAGGUGCUGCAUGGCUGUCGUCAGCUCGUGUCGUGAGAUGUUGGGUUAAGUCCCGUAACGAGCGCAACCCUUAUCCUUAGUUACCAGCGAAUAAAGUCGGGGACUCUAGGGAGACUGCCGGUGACAAGCCGGAGGAAGGCGGGGACGACGUCAAGUCAUCAUGGCCCUUACGGGUAGGGCUACACACGUGCUACAAUGGCCGGUACAGAGGGCAGCGAAGUGGCGACACGGAGCAAAUCUUUUAAAGCUGGUCGUAGUCCGGAUUGAAGUCUGCAACUCGACUUCAUGAAGUCGGAAUCGCUAGUAAUCGCGAAUCAGCAUGUCGCGGUGAAUACGUUCCCGGGCCUUGCACACACCGCCCGU